AGAGUUUGAUCCUGGCUCAGAACGAACGCUGGCGGCAGGCUUAACACAUGCAAGUCGAGCGCCCCGCAAGGGGAGCGGCAGACGGGUGAGUAACGCGUGGGAAUCUACCCAUCCCUACGGAACAACUCCGGGAAACUGGAGCUAAUACCGUAUACGCCCUUCGGGGGAAAGAUUUAUCGGGGAUGGAUGAGCCCGCGUUGGAUUAGCUAGUUGGUGGGGUAAUGGCCUACCAAGGCGACGAUCCAUAGCUGGUCUGAGAGGAUGAUCAGCCACACUGGGACUAAGACACGGCCCAGACUCCUACGGGAGGCAGCAGUGGGGAAUAUUGGACAAUGGGCGAAAGCCUGAUCCAGCCAUGCCGCGUGAGUGAUGAAGGCCCUAGGGUUGUAAAGCUCUUUCAACGGUGAAGAUAAUGACGGUAACCGUAGAAGAAGCCCCGGCUAACUUCGUG
RNAcentral lists this ribosomal RNA (451 nucleotides) under uncultured bacterium. RNAcentral describes it as "bacterial SSU rRNA". It matches the Rfam family "Bacterial small subunit ribosomal RNA", at positions 8 to 507 of the family's 1533-position model. The record is from RNAcentral.